This 385-nucleotide ribosomal RNA is filed under the name uncultured bacterium. RNAcentral's name for it is "bacterial SSU rRNA". It matches the Rfam family "Bacterial small subunit ribosomal RNA", at positions 30 to 416 of the family's 1533-position model. The record is from RNAcentral.
AUUGAACGCUGGCGGCAUGCCUUACACAUGCAAGUCGAACGGCAGCACGGGAGCAAUCCUGGUGGCGAGUGGCGAACGGGUGAGUAAUAUAUCGGAACGUGCCCAGUCGUGGGGGAUAACGUAGCGAAAGCUACGCUAAUACCGCAUACGAUCUAUGGAUGAAAGCGGGGGAUCGCAAGACCUCGCGCGAUUGGAGCGGCCGAUAUCAGAUUAGGUAGUUGGUGGGGUAAAAGCCUACCAAGCCUUCGAUCUGUAGCUGGUCUGAGAGGACGACCAGCCACACUGGAACUGAGACACGGUCCAGACUCCUACGGGAGCAGCAGUGGGGAAUUUUGGACAAUGGGCGCAAGCCUGAUUCAGCAACACCGCGUGGAGGACGAAGGCC